RNAcentral lists this ribosomal RNA (253 nucleotides) under uncultured bacterium. RNAcentral describes it as "partial 16S ribosomal RNA". It matches the Rfam family "Bacterial small subunit ribosomal RNA", at positions 524 to 776 of the family's 1533-position model. The record is from RNAcentral.
UACGGAGGGUGCGAGCGUUAUCCGGAAUCACUGGGCGUAAAGGGCACGUAGGCGGUCUACUAAGUCCGAUGUUAAAGAGUGGGGCUCAACCCCAUCACGGCGUUGGAUACUGGCAGGCUUGACGACUGGAGAGGAAAGUAGAAUUACCAGUGUAGCGGUGAAAUGCGUAGAUACUGGUAGGAAUACCCAUUGCGAAGGCAGCUUUCUGGACAGUUUGUGACGCUGAGGUGCGAAAGUGUGGGGAGCAAACCGG